GAGGGCCCCGCACAAGCAGCGGAGCGUGUGGUUUAAUUCGAUGUUACACGAAGAACCUUACCAGGGUUUGACAUGCAAGUGGUAGGAAGCCGAAAGGUGACCGACCCUUCGGGGAGCUUGCACAGGUGCUGCAUGGCUGUCGUCAGCUCGUGUCGUGAGAUGUUCGGUUAAGUCCGCUAACGAGCGCAACCCUCGCUGUGUGUUAUAUGUGUCAUACGAGACUGCCGGUAAAAGCCGGAGGAAGGUGAGGAUGAUGUCAAGUCAGCAUGACCUUUAUAUCCAGGGCUACACACACGCUACAAUGGUCUGUACAAUGGGUAGCCAAGCCGCGAGGCGGAGCCAAUCCUGAAAGCAGGCCUCAGUUCAGAUUGCAGUCUGCAACUCGACUGCAUGAAGCCGGAGUUGCUAGUAACCGCAGGUCAGCAAUACUGCGGUGAAUACGUUCCCGGGUCUU
Molecule: ribosomal RNA, 454 nt
Filed under: uncultured Anaerolineaceae bacterium
Lineage: Bacteria; Bacillati; Chloroflexota; Anaerolineae; Anaerolineales; Anaerolineaceae
Description: bacterial SSU rRNA
Rfam family: Bacterial small subunit ribosomal RNA
Source: RNAcentral